UACUUCCAUUCUAUUGCCGUCGCCAGCAUAGAUGUAUCUUUCACCAUCACUUGGUUUUCGGCAACUCAGGCAACCCUGCAUAGACAUACUGAUGUGAGUUGUUGCACCAGAAUCUAUCCACCAUGUAUGUCUAGGUACCGAAGUUAAAUUAACCUCAGAACAAACCAAAUGAAGAAGAGUACCUUUCUUUACACGCCAUGCGUGGUAAUUGGUGCAAUUCUUCUUCUUAUGACCUGCAGCUCCACAGAAGAAAC
RNAcentral lists this long non-coding RNA (254 nucleotides) under Olea europaea (common olive). RNAcentral's name for it is "long non-coding RNA (OEUR_LNC012628)". The record is from RNAcentral. Lineage: Eukaryota; Viridiplantae; Streptophyta; Magnoliopsida; Lamiales; Oleaceae.